RNAcentral lists this ribosomal RNA (507 nucleotides) under Glomus sp. Glo4. RNAcentral's name for it is "SSU rRNA". It matches the Rfam family "Eukaryotic small subunit ribosomal RNA", at positions 569 to 1078 of the family's 1831-position model. The record is from RNAcentral. RNAcentral also lists the same sequence under 1 other name. Lineage: Eukaryota; Fungi; Glomeromycota; Glomeromycetes; Glomerales; Glomeraceae.
AGCAGCCGCGGUAAUUCCAGCUCCAAUAGCGUAUAUUAAAGUUGUUGCAGUUAAAAAGCUCGUAGUUGAAUUUCGGGAUCAGAUUGUCGGUCGUGCCUCGGUACGCACUGGCAUUAUUGGUUCCUACCUUCUGAAGAACCGCGAUGUCAUUAAUUUGGUGUCGUGGGGAAUCAGGACUGUUACUUUGAAAAAAUUAGAGUGUUUAAAGCAGGCGCACGCUUGAAUACAUUAGCAUGGAAUAAUGAAAUAGGACGUUUGAUUCUAUUUUGUUGGUUUCUAGGAUCGACGUAAUGAUUAAUAGGGAUAGUUGGGGGCAUUAGUAUUCAAUUGUCAGAGGUGAAAUUCUUGGAUUUAUUGAAGACUAACUACUGCGAAAGCAUUUGCCAAGGAUGUUUUCAUUAAUCAAGAACGAAAGUUAGGGGAUCGAAGACGAUCAGAUACCGUCGUAGUCUUAACCAUAAACUAUGCCGACUAGGGAUCGGAUGAUGUUAAUUUUUUAAUGACUCA